Molecule: ribosomal RNA, 234 nt
Filed under: uncultured bacterium
Lineage: Bacteria
Description: partial 16S ribosomal RNA
Rfam family: Bacterial small subunit ribosomal RNA
Source: RNAcentral
CGUAGGUAAUCUACCCUAGUGUACGGGACAACAUCGGGAAACAGGUGCUAAUACCGAAUACGCUUCUUUAGAUGCGAAUUUAGAGAAGGAAAGGUGGCCUCUUCAUGAAAGCUACUGCACAAGGAUGAGCCUGCGUACCAUUAGCUAGUUGGUGGGGUAAUGGCCUACCAAGGUUUCGAUGGUUAGCGGGUCUGAGAGGAUGAUCCGCCACACUGGCACUGGAACACGGGCCAG